UGGGGAAUAUUGGACAAUGGGCGAAAGCCUGAUCCAGCCAUGCCGCGUGUGUGAAGAAGGUCUUCGGAUUGUAAAGCACUUUAAGUUGGGAGGAAGGGCAGUAAGCGAAUACCUUGCUGUUUUGACGUUACCGACAGAAUAAGCACCGGCUAACUCUGUGCCAGCAGCCGCGGUAAUACAGAGGGUGCAAGCGUUAAUCGGAAUUACUGGGCGUAAAGCGCGCGUAGGUGGUUCGUUAAGUUGAAUGUGAAAGCCCCGGGCUCAACCUGGGAACUGCAUCCAAAUCUGGCGAGCUAGAGUAGGGCAGAGGGUGGUGGAAUUUACUGUGUAGCGGUGAAAUGCGUAGAUAUAGGAAGGAACGCCAGAGGCGAAGGCGACCACCUGGGCUGAUACUGACACUGAGGUGCGAAAGCGUGGGGAGCAAACAGG
RNAcentral lists this ribosomal RNA (429 nucleotides) under Pseudomonadota bacterium. RNAcentral describes it as "Proteobacteria bacterium partial 16S ribosomal RNA". It matches the Rfam family "Bacterial small subunit ribosomal RNA", at positions 355 to 776 of the family's 1533-position model. The record is from RNAcentral. Lineage: Bacteria; Pseudomonadati; Pseudomonadota.